RNAcentral lists this ribosomal RNA (253 nucleotides) under uncultured bacterium. Its description in RNAcentral is "partial 16S ribosomal RNA". It matches the Rfam family "Bacterial small subunit ribosomal RNA", at positions 524 to 776 of the family's 1533-position model. The record is from RNAcentral.
UACGUAGGGUCCGAGCGUUGCCCGGAAUUAUUGGGCGUAAAGAGCUCGUAGGCGGCUUGUCGCGUCGACUGUGAAAACCCGCGGCUCAACUGUGGGCUUGCAGUCGAUACGGGCAGGCUGGAGUUCGGUAGGGGAGACUGGAAUUCCUGGUGUAGCGGUGAAAUGCGCAGAUAUCAGGAGGAACACCGGUGGCGAAGGCGGGUCUCUGGGCCGAUACUGACGCUGAGGAGCGAAAGCGUGGGGAGCGAACAGG